GGAUUGGGUUUGAAAGUCUGUCACGAAUAACUGCGCUUCUAUUGCCAUUUGGACAUUGUGCGUCCAGGAGGAGAGUUCUAUAGCCCAUUUCUUCCGUAGAGAUGUCCGGAUUUUUUUUGAACGUUUGCCAACUUGGUUUUUUUACCUACCUUGUGCUUUUUUCUUACAUUUCUGUAACCACUUCAGUGAGUUUUGAUUUAACCGAACUUGGAAAUAAAGUUGCGAAAAUUAAAGUUAAUCAAAGAGGGAAUCUUUGGGCUACAGGUCAUUUUAUGGGGAAGAAGAGUGUCAUGGAUAGCCCUCUGCUCCAGUCUCCGGAUGGACAGUCUGUGGAUGCGUUCGAGGUCGCCUUGAGUCCGGAGCAGAACGGGAUGGGAAAUCUCUUCCAAGAUGUGCUGAGGGUCGCGUUGCAAGCCCAACUCAGAGAUGACACAGAGAACCGCUCCGAAAACCAGGAGACUGGAUUGUUGAUGAAGAUAUUAGAGAGCUACAUUCAAAACAACAGAAAGUGAUGCAGUCUACCAUAAUGUUCCUUAAGAUGAAGUCAUCCAGUCUAUGUCUAUAAAGGUUUUGGUCAAUAUGGAAUCAAAUCUCAUAUGCUUUAACAUGAUUGUAACAUGUCUGUUCAGUUUAUAGUUGACCAAAAUGCUAUUUGCAAUGUCACCGGAUCUGAAAGGAAGGGUGAAUCAAAUGUAGAUGUGUAUUUAUCGUUUUGAGGAUGUGCUGCGUUGUAUUGUUGAUAUUAAAUUAUUUAUAUUCAAUAAAAACAAAUAUU
This is a long non-coding RNA of Oncorhynchus kisutch (coho salmon), 775 nucleotides long. RefSeq lists it as uncharacterized. The transcript is spliced from 3 exons. NCBI's taxonomy places the organism in Eukaryota, Metazoa, Chordata, Actinopteri, Salmoniformes, Salmonidae. The record is from RefSeq and is a predicted model, not a curated record.